This 221-nucleotide long non-coding RNA is filed under the name Lathyrus oleraceus (garden pea). RNAcentral describes it as "Pisum sativum (pea) long non-coding RNA (PSAT_LNC001479)". The record is from RNAcentral. Lineage: Eukaryota; Viridiplantae; Streptophyta; Magnoliopsida; Fabales; Fabaceae.
GUCUUUAUAGAUGGAGUGGUAGAAUAGUAGCCACAUGCAUUGACACACAUAGAAUGAACUAUGCAUACACCAUUGCAUAUGUCACUCCUACUGGUGCAUUGACCAUGAAUGUGUCAAUGCAUGUGACGCCAAUGAAUAAUAUUUUUUAUUGGAAGCGCCAAUACAACUGGCGUCUAGGUUAUAUGUUUUUUGAAAAAUGAUUAUUUUUGUAAAUAUUUAAA